RNAcentral lists this ribosomal RNA (301 nucleotides) under uncultured bacterium. RNAcentral's name for it is "partial 16S ribosomal RNA". It matches the Rfam family "Bacterial small subunit ribosomal RNA", at positions 509 to 807 of the family's 1533-position model. The record is from RNAcentral.
CAGCAGCCGCGGUAAUACAGAGGGUGCGAGCGUUAAUCGGAUUUACUGGGCGUAAAGCGUGCGUAGGCGGCUAAUUGAGUCGGAUGUGAAAUCCCCGAGCUUAACUUGGGAAUUGCAUUCGAUACUGGUUAGCUAGAGUGUGGGAGAGGAUGGUAGAAUUCCAGGUGUAGCGGUGAAAUGCGUAAAGAUCUGGAGGAAUACCGAUGGCGAAGGCAGCCAUCUGGCCUAACACUGACGCUGAGGUACGAAAGCAUGGGGAGCAAACAGGAUUAGAUACCCGAGUAGUCCCUGUCUCUUAUAC